UCGGGAUAGCUCAGCUGGUAGGCAGAGGACUGAAAAUCCUCGUGUCACCAGUUC
Molecule: transfer RNA, 54 nt
Filed under: Syncolostemon pretoriae
Lineage: Eukaryota; Viridiplantae; Streptophyta; Magnoliopsida; Lamiales; Lamiaceae
Description: partial transfer RNA-Phe
Source: RNAcentral